This 465-nucleotide ribosomal RNA is filed under the name Vreelandella stevensii. RNAcentral describes it as "partial 16S ribosomal RNA". It matches the Rfam family "Bacterial small subunit ribosomal RNA", at positions 338 to 795 of the family's 1533-position model. Lineage: Bacteria; Pseudomonadati; Pseudomonadota; Gammaproteobacteria; Oceanospirillales; Halomonadaceae. The record is from RNAcentral.
CCUACGGGGGGCUGCAGUGGGGAAUAUUGGACAAUGGGGGGAACCCUGAUCCAGCCAUGCCGCGUGUGUGAAGAAGGCCCUCGGGUUGUAAAGCACUUUCAGUGAGGAAGAACGCCUGGUGGUUAAUACCCAUCAGGAAGGACAUCACUCACAGAAGAAGCACCGGCUAACUCCGUGCCAGCAGCCGCGGUAAUACGGAGGGUGCGAGCGUUAAUCGGAAUUACUGGGCGUAAAGCGCGCGUAGGUGGCUGGAUAAGCCGGUUGUGAAAGCCCCGGGCUCAACCUGGGAACGGCAUCCGGAACUGUCAAGCUAGAGUGCAGGAGAGGAAGGUAGAAUUCCCGGUGUAGCGGUGAAAUGCGUAGAGAUCGGGAGGAAUACCAGUGGCGAAGGCGGCCUUCUGGACUGACACUGACACUGAGGUGCGAAAGCGUGGGUAGCAAACAGGAUUAGAUACCCCUGUAGUC